RNAcentral lists this ribosomal RNA (1455 nucleotides) under Streptococcus thermophilus. RNAcentral describes it as "16S ribosomal RNA". It matches the Rfam family "Bacterial small subunit ribosomal RNA". Lineage: Bacteria; Bacillati; Bacillota; Bacilli; Lactobacillales; Streptococcaceae. The record is from RNAcentral.
AUACAUGCAGUAGAACGCUGAAGAGAGGAGCUUGCUCUUCUUGGAUGAGUUGCGAACGGGUGAGUAACGCGUAGGUAACCUGCCUUGUAGCGGGGGAUAACUAUUGGAAACGAUAGCUAAUACCGCAUAACAAUGGAUGACACAUGUCAUUUAUUUGAAAGGGGCAAUUGCUCCACUACAAGAUGGACCUGCGUUGUAUUAGCUAGUAGGUGAGGUAAUGGCUCACCUAGGCGACGAUACAUAGCCGACCUGAGAGGGUGAUCGGCCACACUGGGACUGAGACACGGCCCAGACUCCUACGGGAGGCAGCAGUAGGGAAUCUUCGGCAAUGGGGGCAACCCUGACCGAGCAACGCCGCGUGAGUGAAGAAGGUUUUCGGAUCGUAAAGCUCUGUUGUAAGUCAAGAACGGGUGUGAGAGUGGAAAGUUCACACUGUGACGGUAGCUUACCAGAAAGGGACGGCUAACUACGUGCCAGCAGCCGCGGUAAUACGUAGGUCCCGAGCGUUGUCCGGAUUUAUUGGGCGUAAAGCGAGCGCAGGCGGUUUGAUAAGUCUGAAGUUAAAGGCUGUGGCUCAACCAUAGUUCGCUUUGGAAACUGUCAAACUUGAGUGCAGAAGGGGAGAGUGGAAUUCCAUGUGUAGCGGUGAAAUGCGUAGAUAUAUGGAGGAACACCGGUGGCGAAAGCGGCUCUCUGGUCUGUAACUGACGCUGAGGCUCGAAAGCGUGGGGAGCGAACAGGAUUAGAUACCCUGGUAGUCCACGCCGUAAACGAUGAGUGCUAGGUGUUGGAUCCUUUCCGGGAUUCAGUGCCGCAGCUAACGCAUUAAGCACUCCGCCUGGGGAGUACGACCGCAAGGUUGAAACUCAAAGGAAUUGACGGGGGCCCGCACAAGCGGUGGAGCAUGUGGUUUAAUUCGAAGCAACGCGAAGAACCUUACCAGGUCUUGACAUCCCGAUGCUAUUUCUAGAGAUAGAAAGUUACUUCGGUACAUCGGUGACAGGUGGUGCAUGGUUGUCGUCAGCUCGUGUCGUGAGAUGUUGGGUUAAGUCCCGCAACGAGCGCAACCCCUAUUGUUAGUUGCCAUCAUUCAGUUGGGCACUCUAGCGAGACUGCCGGUAAUAAACCGGAGGAAGGUGGGGAUGACGUCAAAUCAUCAUGCCCCUUAUGACCUGGGCUACACACGUGCUACAAUGGUUGGUACAACGAGUUGCGAGUCGGUGACGGCGAGCUAAUCUCUUAAAGCCAAUCUCAGUUCGGAUUGUAGGCUGCAACUCGCCUACAUGAAGUCGGAAUCGCUAGUAAUCGCGGAUCAGCACGCCGCGGUGAAUACGUUCCCGGGCCUUGUACACACCGCCCGUCACACCACGAGAGUUUGUAACACCCGAAGUCGGUGAGGUAACCUUUUGGAGCCAGCCGCCUAAGGUGGGACAGAUGAUGGGGUGAAGUCGUAAC